CGGUUCGCGCGCCACGCUGGCCCCAACGUCCACGAAAACAACCCCCAAGCAAGACGCGUGUAUGUGGUGGGCCUCGCACAACCGCCCCUUCCUAUCCUUAUCCUUUUUCCUGCCUCUCCUUUUUUCCUUUCUUCUACCUUCAGCAGAGACUCCACGGCCAUGAUUUUUCUCUCCUUCCCACUGCUCACGAACCACUGCAAGCUCCCCUCGCCGCCGGCUGCCGUCGUUGCUGCCGUUUUGCCGCUCCUACUCACUGGCCACCCGUGCCGACCGCACUCGGCCCUCGGCCGCCCCAUGCUUCUAUCAUAAGACUGCAGCUCACCCGCCAGCCGGUUCCAGCUCGCGACCACAGUGGUUGCAGCAUCUCCAUUCGUCACUGCCUUCGCUCGUCGUUGUCGUCCGCUCGGACCACCAUGCCCCCUCCUCCCCGCAAAAAAAUGUCAGCCAAAAACCAAAACACCAUUGGUUUGCUGGAAGCAGCAAAAACACAUGCCGGUUCCAGCAAAAAGCAUCCACGAUUCCAGCAAAACACGUCCCCACCACCGGGCAUAGUAAGAACUCUCACCUAUCG
RNAcentral lists this ribosomal RNA (571 nucleotides) under Triticum aestivum (bread wheat). RNAcentral's name for it is "partial small subunit ribosomal RNA". Lineage: Eukaryota; Viridiplantae; Streptophyta; Magnoliopsida; Poales; Poaceae. The record is from RNAcentral.